CAAUCAAUAUGGUAUAUUCUUACCUAUUACUCAUUGAUGUAUUGAUGAUUGGUAGUUGCAUGACAUAAUUAGUGUCUCUGCAGCAACUUGAAAAUGGUAUAAAACUCCUUGUUGCUCCUUUCUGAU
Monodelphis domestica (gray short-tailed opossum) is the source of this 126-nucleotide small nucleolar RNA. Its record names the gene U8. It matches the Rfam family "U8 small nucleolar RNA". From Rfam's summary of the family: U8 is a member of the C/D class of snoRNA which contain the C (UGAUGA) and D (CUGA) box motifs. U8 is the RNA component of a small complex (the U8 snoRNP) which is required for accumulation of mature large subunit ribosomal RNAs, 5.8S and 28S rRNAs. Lineage: Eukaryota; Metazoa; Chordata; Mammalia; Didelphimorphia; Didelphidae. The record is from Ensembl.